RNAcentral lists this long non-coding RNA (2412 nucleotides) under Olea europaea subsp. europaea. The record is from RNAcentral. Lineage: Eukaryota; Viridiplantae; Streptophyta; Magnoliopsida; Lamiales; Oleaceae.
GUUUUGGGUCAAUGGAAAAUUUUCCGUUGUGUUCUACAGCGCUAAACCCUAGGGUUCGAAUGCUCUGCACAAAAAGAGUCUCUAAAGGUCAAGGGUAAAACUGUUCUCGGGCGCUAGAAUUCAAUAUUCUCGUUUUGUUAUUCAUCUCAAGAAUCAAAUGCUUCUUAGAUCCACUUUUUCAAGAAUCCAUAAAUAUGAAUUCUUCAACAAUUUCUGCAGUCUUGCAAAUGUAAAUUCAUUAAUUUUGGACUCAGAAACCGCAAUUUCUCAGUCAAAAUUGAAACCCUUUUCAUCGGAGGAUAAGGCAUCAGAAAAUGCUAAUGUUAUCUCCUAUUUGAUAAAUUCCUGUGGGUUACCUCCAGAGAAGGCUAUUUCUUCUUCCAAAAGGUUGCAUUUUAACUGCCCAGACAGACCAGAUGCUGUUCUGAAUUUUCUUACGAAACAUGGAUUUAGCAAAUCGCAAAUUGCCGAGCUUGUGAGGAAACGGCCUUUGCUUCUUAUGUCCGAUCCUGAGAAGACCCUUUUGCCCAAGAUUGAGUUUUUCUUGCAGUCGACUGGAGUUGCGAAAGCCGACCUUUUCAGAAUCAUUUCAAGAUACCCUACAUUCUUGGUAAGUAGUUUGGAGAACAAACUUAUACCAAUUUAUAAAUACCUCAAGGAUAUAAUCGAAGAUGAAAAGGUCGCGACCCUUUUGAGGCGCGGUUCGUGGGUUUUCCAUCGACCAAUUGCAAGGGGGCUUAAGCCGAAUGUGGACUUUUUGCGGGCACAUGGAGUUCCCAGUUCGUUUAUCGCAUUAGGGCUGUACAAUUUUCCACAAGCCAUCUCUCAAGAACAUAAUUAUCUCAAAGAAACUGUUGCAGAGGUGAAGGAAAUGGGAUUUGAUCCAUUGAAAUCAACGUUUGUAUUGGCAUUAUAUGCUCGUUCAGGGGACCGUCAUAGGUCUUCAUGGGAAAAUUGCUAUGAAACUUAUAGGAAAUGGGGUUGGUCGAAGGAUGAUAUUUACAUGGCAUUUAGAAAACACCCUCUGUGUAUGCUUUCGUCUGAAAAGAAAAUCUCUGGAGUUUUGAGUUUCCUAGUUACUAAGAUGGGUUAUGAGUCCAGAAUGAUUGCGCAUUAUCCACAACUUCUCUUCUACAGUUUGGAGAAGAGGAUUAUCCCCAGGUGCUCGGUCGUUCACCUUUUGGCCUUGAAGGGUUUAGUUAGGAAAGAUAAGAGCUUGACCACUAUAAUGUGCCCUGCAGAGAAAUAUUUCUUGGACACGUUUGUGACUAACUAUGCUGAGGAAUUACCUCAACUUUACGACAUUUAUAAAGGGAAGGCAGUGGUUCCCGAAGUAUAACUGAGUUAAAAGAGUUUGUUUCUAACUUGUUGCCACUAUCAUUAUUUGCAACAAAUUAUUGUGUUAUGACAGUUAUUUUCUGUCUUCAUAUAGCGUCUUGCAGCGAUUAUUCAGCCAAGAUUGAUUAUGUAGGCAACUCUCUUGAUCUUGAUGUCGAAACUAGGGUGUUUAAUUAUAAUUUAGAGCACAACCAAACUCCAUUUUUGACUCUUGAAUCAAUGAAUGGAUUGAUUGUUCUGAACCAGGCACGGUUGCACUCGCUUUUUGCUUGAUGUUUAGAGAUGAUAUUGUAGGACCGACUCCUACAACUUCCAUGUAAUUGUUAAUUAUUUUACUUCGAAAUGAGAUUCUGUGAAAUGUCUUUUGCUCAAUGGAUUCACAAAGUUUUUAUGCAUAUUAUUGUUAUUGGCUGGUUAUGCCCUAUAUCCUCCACAAUUUUGAUGCUUAAAUUGUCUUCGCAGGACUUGUCAUUCAACCAAAAUUUCACCUGUAUCUCCGAGAGAUUACACAGUUAGACACAACAGCAUGCAAUGCACAGAGCCACAGAAUAGAAGCCGUAGAACAAAAAUUACAGGGAAACCUGGCCUUCAUUACUCGGCAAGAAGUGACCUCGUCCAAGGCUAAAAGGUACGUAUGUGCACUCUGAAUUAUGCUGAGAACUCAAUUGAAAUGAAAUGUUCAAUUUUUACCCAGUGAUGGCAUCAAUAUAUGAACUGUCUCAACAACUUUGCCCAUUUUAUACAAAAAACUUUCAUUUGACAUCCCUAACUGCUAAUGCAUAAGUUGCCAUGUGAUCAUGCUUCUGCUAUCAGAUUACGAUAUUCUAUUAGUCUUCAAAAUUCUCCCUUUUUCAUGGAAGUUACGAAGGAAGUUCUGCUUAAGGCAAGGAACUUCCUUGUAAAAAGGAGUAGACACCUUCAGAUGUUUCCCAGUGACCAAAGGCACUCUUAUGCUGCUGAAUAAUGUUAUUUAUCUCCAAUAGAGAUGACCUUCAUAUGAUGUGGCAAAAAUGAUUAUUUCAUAUCCAUACAUUUAAAAUUUGUCUUUUCAUUUAAUGACAUGUCACUUGCCAC